UGGCUCAGAACGAACGCUGGCGGCGCGUCUUAAGCAUGCAAGUCGAACGGCAAGAGGUAGCAAUACCUCCUAGAGUGGCGGACUGGUGAGUAACACGUGGGUGACAUACCCUUCAGAUGGGGAUAGCUAUUAGAAAUAGUAGAUAAUACCGAAUACGAGCACAGGGGUUAGAGAUCUGCGAGGAAAGGAGCUAAGGCUCCGCUGAAGGAAUGGCCUGCGGCCCAUUAGCUAGUUGGUGAGGUAAGAGCCCACCAAGGCGAUGAUGGGUAUCCGGCCUUAGAGGGUGAACGGACACAUUGGGACUGAGAUACGGCCCAGACUCCUACGGGAGGCAGCAGCUAAGAAUAUUCCGCAAUGGACGAAAGUCUGACGGAGCGACGCCGCGUGGAUGAAGAAGGCCGGAAGGUUGUAAAAAUCCUUUUGAAACUGAAGAAUAAGCGUUGUAGGGAAUGACAGCGUGGUGACAGUAGGUUUUGAAUAAGCAACGGCUAAUUACGUGCCAGCAGCGGC
Molecule: ribosomal RNA, 510 nt
Filed under: uncultured bacterium
Lineage: Bacteria
Description: bacterial SSU rRNA
Rfam family: Bacterial small subunit ribosomal RNA
Source: RNAcentral